UCAGCUAAUAGUUUAAUAAAAUACUAAUUUUGGAUAUUAGAGAUAUAAUUUAUUAUUUAACUG
This 63-nucleotide transfer RNA is filed under the name Pariaconus pele. RNAcentral describes it as "tRNA-Pro". The record is from RNAcentral. Lineage: Eukaryota; Metazoa; Arthropoda; Insecta; Hemiptera; Triozidae.